CAAGAUUCCAAUAGCAGAUACAGUGCACUGAAUGUCCAACAUCAGAUGUUGAAAAGCCAACACGAGGAGCUAAAGAAACAGCACAGUGACUUGGAAGAGGAACAUCGCAAACAAGGGGAAGACUUCAGUAGAACAUUUAAUGACCAUAAGCAAAAAUACUUGCAGCUCCAGCAAGAAAAAGAACAAGAACUUUCUAAGCUAAAAGAGACUGUAUACAAUUUGAGAGAAGAGAAUAGACAACUAAGGAAAGCACACCAAGACAUACAUACACAGCUUCAAGAUGUCAAGGUAAAAGAAAACCAAACGUUUCACUAUUUAGUGUUUGCCUGCUUUAUUUGGUAGAAUGACUUUAAAAAGUCAUUCCCUAAUUGGCCUGCUUUACAAAUCCACGUUGUUAUUGUGGGCUUUGCAUUAACUAGAGUGUACCUAAUAUUUUUACCACUUCAGCAUUGUAAGCUAAAAGAUGGUCUGAAAAUCUGAAUAUUCUCAUUAGUACUGAAAUUAUUCUCAUGCUAGUUACAUAUUAAUAAGCUUUUUAUUUAUAAAAGUUUACUAAUAAUGA
RNAcentral lists this long non-coding RNA (562 nucleotides) under Homo sapiens (human). RNAcentral's name for it is "non-protein coding lnc-PDCD10-2:1". Lineage: Eukaryota; Metazoa; Chordata; Mammalia; Primates; Hominidae. The record is from RNAcentral.